This 506-nucleotide ribosomal RNA is filed under the name uncultured bacterium. Its description in RNAcentral is "bacterial SSU rRNA". It matches the Rfam family "Bacterial small subunit ribosomal RNA", at positions 381 to 878 of the family's 1533-position model. The record is from RNAcentral.
GCCUGAUCCAGCAAUGCCGCGUGAGUGAAGAAGGCCUUCGGGUUGUAAAAGCUCUUUCAGUUGAAAAGAAAAAGCCGUGACUAAUAAUCAUGGUUCAUGACGGUAUCAACAGAAGAAGCACCGGCUAACUACGUGCCAGCAGCCGCGGUAAUACGUAGGGUGCAAGCGUUAAUCGGAAUUACUGGGCGUAAAGGGUGCGCAGGCGGUUCUGUAAGUCAGAUGUGAAAUCCCCGGGCUUAACCUGGGAACUGCGUUUGAAACUGCAGAGCUAGAGUGCGGCAGAGGGAGGUGGAAUUCCAUGUGUAGCAGUGAAAAUGCGUAGAGAUAUGGAAGAACAUCGAUGGCGAAGGCAACCUCCUGGGCUAGCACUGACGCUCAUGCACGAAAGCGUGGGGAGCAAACAGGAUUAGAUACCCUGGUAGUCCACGCCCUAAACUAUGUCAACUAGUUGUCGGGCCUUAAUAGGCUUGGUAACGUAGCUAACGCGUGAAGUUGACCGCCUGGGG